GAGCCAGACUCCUACGGGAGGCAGCAGUGGGGAAUAUUGCACAAUGGGGGAAACCCUGAUGCAGCGACGCCGCGUGAGCGAUGAAGUAUUUCGGUAUGUAAAGCCCUAUCGGCAGGGAAGAAGCAAGACGGUACCUGACUAAGAAGCCCCGGCUAACUACGUGCCAGCAGCCGCGGUAAUACGUAGGGGGCGAGCGUUAUCCGGAUUCACUGGGUGUAAAGGGAGCGUAGACGGCCAUGCAAGCCAGGGGUGAAAGCCCGGGGCCCAACCCCGGGACUGCCCUUGGAACUGCAUGGCUGGAGUGCGGGAGGGGCAGGCGGAAUUCCUGGUGUAGCGGUGAAAUGCGUAGAUAUCAGGAGGAACACCGGCGGCGAAGGCGGCCUGCUGGACCGUAACUGACGUUGAGGCUCGAAAGCGUGGGGAGCAAACAGGAUUAGAUACCCUUGUA
This 448-nucleotide ribosomal RNA is filed under the name uncultured bacterium. Its description in RNAcentral is "bacterial SSU rRNA". It matches the Rfam family "Bacterial small subunit ribosomal RNA", at positions 328 to 792 of the family's 1533-position model. The record is from RNAcentral.